AACAUUUAAAUGUAAAAAAUGCAUAAAAAGUUUUGAGUUUUUUAGGGUUAGUGAAAUUCUAACAUUUGUUA
This 71-nucleotide transfer RNA is filed under the name Dryinus sp. ZJUH_2016011. RNAcentral describes it as "tRNA-Gln". Lineage: Eukaryota; Metazoa; Arthropoda; Insecta; Hymenoptera; Dryinidae. The record is from RNAcentral.